AGAAUCAACGCUGGCGGCGUGCCUAACACAUGCAAGUCGAACGCGAAAACCCCGAAAGGGGUUAGUAGAGUGGCAAACGGGUGAGUAACGCGUGGGUGACCUGCCUUCGAGCGGGGAUACGGUCCGAAAGGGCGCUAAUACCGCAUAACAUCCUGCCUUUGAACAGGUGGCGAUCAAAGCUGGGGAUUCGCAAGAACCCGGCACUUGAAGAGGGGCCCGCGUCUGAUUAGCUAGUUGGUGAGGUAACGGCUCACCAAGGCAACGAUCAGUA
RNAcentral lists this ribosomal RNA (271 nucleotides) under uncultured bacterium. Its description in RNAcentral is "partial small subunit ribosomal RNA". It matches the Rfam family "Bacterial small subunit ribosomal RNA", at positions 26 to 285 of the family's 1533-position model. The record is from RNAcentral.